This is a long non-coding RNA of Dreissena polymorpha, 1099 nucleotides long. RefSeq lists it as uncharacterized. The record is from RefSeq and is a predicted model, not a curated record. NCBI's taxonomy places the organism in Eukaryota, Metazoa, Mollusca, Bivalvia, Myida, Dreissenidae. The transcript is spliced from 2 exons.
GGCAGUAUUAUUCUGAUUAAUAAUUAUCAGAAAGAGUUAUCUCUGAAAUAAAUUUCAGUGAGUUUUCAUGCGAGUGACGUGAUGUUAUUUUUGUAACUUUCUUAUUAACAAUGUGAAUUGCUGAUAUUGCAUAUAGUAUCAAUUGAUUUUUUUAAUGUAUUAUUUUAAUGUGAGGACACAGUUCUGAAGAACAGGAGGAAAAGAGUCAGAAUCAUAUUUAUACAUUUAUGUAAGGUAAGUAUGUAUCAGUUAUUCAGUAGUAUAACUAGUGGAUGUAGUUUCGAUAAAGUAUGUUGUUCUUGCUUGUACAAUGCUGUUAUUAUAAACAGUAUAGUGAGAUAGAUAGGUAUUGUAUCUAUUUUGUAUAGAAAGGUUAUUUGUUGACGGACAAUUCUGUUUUUACUGUGACAUGACAAUUUUGUUUUCUUCUUGGUUUGUUAUGAUGAGGACAUCAUUUUUCGGGCCAGGGAAGUCUGUAACAGGGUUGAAAUAUUCAUUUCACGGAUUCUGUUCAUGUGUUCUGUUUUAAAUGUUAUUAUUUCCAUAUAACGCAUUGUGUUUACCUGGGUUACUUAUUAAGCUGUGCUCCUGUGGCCAGUCUUAGAGUUAAAGUCAGUCAAGCAUGUGAGUUACACAUGUCCAGUUUAUAUAAUUGUUCAGUCAGGCUUGACCAGUUAUUUUCCCGCCCUUUCCUUUGUCUUCUGGUCACUUCUAACUUGAACACAGAGCUGUACACGUCUACUUUUAAGAUGUACAUUUAUAGUACAGAGUUGCCAUUACUUCAAUAUAAGGUUAGUUCUAUUUCUACCUGUUUGCAUUUACUCUUUCUUGUAUUUGCAUUGAGUUGUAUUUAUGUUGUGAGUUGAUAUAACUCAUAUUUGAUAAGUAAUUAGGUUAAAUUCAGAAAAGCAGCAUUGCCAUCCUAAACGUGCUAACGAUUCCUAUAAUUCACAGUUUCCCAUACUCUUCACAUGUAUAAUCUUAUUUGCAGCAGUAGCACAGCACCCGCAGAGAAUUGUAUACGAUUGAGAGAGAGUUCCGUACACAUUCCACAAAUGUGACAUGGAAUUCGUAUAAUAAUAAAGACGAAUACAACAUA